RNAcentral lists this ribosomal RNA (274 nucleotides) under uncultured bacterium. RNAcentral's name for it is "partial 16S ribosomal RNA". It matches the Rfam family "Bacterial small subunit ribosomal RNA", at positions 523 to 796 of the family's 1533-position model. The record is from RNAcentral.
AUACAGAGGGUGCGAGCGUUAAUCGGAAUUACUGGGCGUAAAGCGCGCGUAGGCGGCUUGGUCAGUCGGAUGUGAAGGCCCCGGGCCCAACCUGGGAAUGGCAUUCGAUACUGCCAGGCUAGAGUAUGGGAGAGGGAAGUGGAAUUUCCGGUGUAGCGGUGAAAUGCGUAGAUAUCGGAAGGAACACCAGUGGCGAAGGCGACUUCCUGGCCCAAUACUGACGCUGAGGUGCGAAAGCGUGGGGAGCGAACAGGAUUAGAAACCCUAGUAGUCC